UUAAAUCUACGCUAAUUUUAAUAUCAAACUUCAUUAAGAACUUACCAAUUAAUCCAACCUAGAACGAAACUCAACCACGAAUGAAAUAAACGUCAGUGGUGUGAAAACUUUUCUGCGUUUCCCAUAACAACAAACAAUCGGUGUGACCCUCGAUCGAUUUUCGACUUUGACAGUUCAGCCCAACGAGUGAAAGUCGUUCACAAAUUGGGCUAAGAGCUUAGUGCAACGAGUGAAAUUCGACUGUAUAAACAUACAGUGGACUGUGGAAAGGGAUUUGACUGCAAAGCGGGGGAAAAAUAUUGCUGUCAAGUUUGGCUCUGAUGAACAUUCCACGAACGAGAAUAUUUCUGGAUUAUAAAAAUCAUUUAACAUCAAUUAACAUCGAAUAACAUUACAAUUGUUUGUUAUCAAAACAUUUGAAUUGUGCCAAGAAAUAAGGAUAGUUUAUUUGGACAGAGGAAUCACCUGUGAGGAAUUUCGAGAUGGCUAAUUUCUGUGCCGUUAAGGGCUGCGAAAUAACUCGUUCUCGAUACAAAAAUAAAGCUGAAUGUAUUACCGUGCAUAGAUUUCCCAAAAGAGAGGAUCUGCUCUUGAAAUGGAUCGCUUAUUGUGUUGUUGUCCUCUUGGAAACCUCUAGGUAACCAAGGAAUUUGUUCGAAACAUUUCGAUUCCUCUUGCUAUAAAAGGAAUGAAGAGUGCGAAAAUGUCUCAUACUCGGUUGAGCGGCGUCGAAGAAUCAAUGCUGAUGCAUUACCAGGGAAUCCUGAACACUGGACUCAAUUGGGAGAAGUUGAAAAUCAACCCGCCGACAGCGCAAGAAGUAGUAGUGAUGAAAUAGAAAAUGUCGAGAUAUCUUGUGAGUUUUUCUUCUUCAUUUCGUUACACAAAUAUGUUGUUCAUAUGUUUUAUGUUGUA
Molecule: long non-coding RNA, 915 nt
Organism: Toxorhynchites rutilus septentrionalis
Lineage: Eukaryota; Metazoa; Arthropoda; Insecta; Diptera; Culicidae
Exons: 3
Source: RefSeq, a predicted model, not a curated record